GACGAACGCUGGCGGCGUGCCUAAUACAUGCAAGUAGGACGAGUUGCGAACGGGUGAGCAACGCGUGGUAACCUACCUAUUAGAGGGGGAUAACUACUGGAAACGGUAGCUAAUACCGCAUACCCUCGGAUGUGCACAGAUGGGAUUGGCUAGUGGGGGGGGUAACGGCUCACCUAGGCGACGAUCCCUAGCUGGUAUGAGAGGAUGACCAGCCACACUGGAAUUGAGACACGGUCCAGACUCCUACGGGAGGCAGCAGUGGGGAAUAUUGCACAAUGGGCGCAAGCCUGAUACAGCCAUGCCGCGUGUAUGAAGAAGGCCUUCGGGUUGUAAAGUACUUUCAGCGAGGAGGCGUUACUCGCAGAAGAAGCACCGGCUAACUCCGUGCCAGCAGCCGCGGUAAUUC
This 406-nucleotide ribosomal RNA is filed under the name uncultured bacterium. RNAcentral's name for it is "partial 16S ribosomal RNA". It matches the Rfam family "Bacterial small subunit ribosomal RNA", at positions 28 to 526 of the family's 1533-position model. The record is from RNAcentral.